UACGUAGGUGGCAAGCGUUGUCCGGAUUUAUUGGGCGUAAAGCGAGCGCAGGCGGAAGAAUAAGUCUGAUGUGAAAGCCCUCGGCUUAACCGAGGAACUGCAUCGGAAACUGUUUUUCUUGAGUGCAGAAGAGGAGAGUGGAAUUCCAUGUGUAGCGGUGGAAUGCGUAGAUAUAUGGAAGAACACCAGUGGCGAAGGCGACUCUCUGGUCUGCAACUGACGCUGAGGCUCGAAAGCAUGGGUAGCGAACAGG
Molecule: unclassified non-coding RNA, 253 nt
Filed under: uncultured Lactobacillaceae bacterium
Lineage: Bacteria; Bacillati; Bacillota; Bacilli; Lactobacillales; Lactobacillaceae
Description: contains 16S-23S intergenic spacer region
Rfam family: Bacterial small subunit ribosomal RNA
Source: RNAcentral